GCAGGGCGGCGGCGGCGGCGGCGGCGGCGGCGGCGGCGGCGGCGGCGGGUCGGGCCGGGCCGGGCUGGGCCGGGCCGGGCUGCGCUGCCCGGGCGCGGACCUCGCCUCCGCGCCAACUCUUUCUACUUUGCUUGCAAGAAUAACCACCGAGACCAGGAGGCGGCGGGGCCCCUGAACACCGAAGUCCCCACCUUCAGCCGCCUGGAAGGCGAAGACCUCGUCCGCCGCAACUCUCAGUUGGAAAGUAAAGGUGAGUUCGGCGUCUCGGGCCGAGCGGGGAGCGAGCGGGCGGGCGGCGGGGCGGGGGCGGGGGCGGUCCCGGUCCAGGUCCCGGUCCAGGUCCCGGCGCCCCCGCCCGCCCCCGGCCCCGGCCCCGGCCCCAGCCCUGCGCCCGCCCGCCCCAGCCCUGCGCCCGCCGCCCGCCGCCCUCCGCCCUGCGCCCUCCGCCCUGCGCCCGCCGGGCGCCCCUUUGUUGUGCUGGCGGCGAGGCCGGGGCGGCGCUCGGGGUCCCGCGCGGAGUCGGGGCGCGAGGCGGGUGCGGGCUCGGCUCGGGGGACGGGAAACUUUACUCCGGGCUGCCGGGCGGGCGGCGGGCGGCGGGGCCUUUGUGCGGGCCGCCCUGCCCCUCCGCCCGCCCCGCGCCGCCCCGCGCCGCUCCGCCGCCCCGCCCGGCCCGGCCCUGCCCGCCGCCGGCCCCUCCGCCCGGCCCCUCCGCGGCCUCGCCUCCCGCGCCCCGCCGGCCGCCGCUGCCAUGGCCGCCCUCGCCGGGAAGCCCGGGCGCCCGCCGCUGCCGCCCUCCCUGCCUCCGCCCCCUGCUCCCCCCGGGGCCGAGGGCCGGAGCCUGCCCCGGCGCCCCCCGCCCCCCCGCCGCCCGGCCCCGCCUCGGCUGCCUCGGUGGGUCCGGGAGCCGCGGGGCUCACGGGGGGCGGGGGCGGGGGCGCCGGGGCAGGUGGGGCCGGGCCGGGCUGCGGCGCGUCCUCGGGGCUGCGCGGGCGGAGAGGAGCUGCCCCCCGGCCCGGCCCCCCGGGCCCCCCGGUCCCCCCGGGCCCCCGCACCCCGCGGAGCCCCCCGCCGCCCCCGCCGCCCCCGCCGCCCGCCCCUCUCCCCCGUGUUUCUCUUUUGUGUGUCGCGUCCUCAUGA
Molecule: long non-coding RNA, 1140 nt
Filed under: Canis lupus familiaris (dog)
Lineage: Eukaryota; Metazoa; Chordata; Mammalia; Carnivora; Canidae
Description: lncRNA (ENSCAFG00040020574.1)
Source: RNAcentral